CCCUUAGAUGUUCUGGGCCGCACGCGCGCUACACUGAUGCAUUCAACGAGUUUCUUCCUGGUCCGAGAGGAAUGGGUAACCUUUUGAAAGUGCAUCGUGAUAGGGAUAGACUAUUGCAAUUAUUGGUCUUCAACGAGGAACUCCUAGUAGACGUAGUUCAUCAGACUGCAUCGAUUACGUCCCUGCCCUUUGUACACACCGCCCGUCGCUCCUACCGAUUGAAUGCUCAGGUGAGCCAUUCGGACUUUCAUCAUGCUGGUUUCCAGUUUUGAUGAAGGGAAGUCUUGCGAACCUUAUCAUUUAGAGGAAGGAGAAGUCGUAACA
This 324-nucleotide ribosomal RNA is filed under the name uncultured eukaryote. RNAcentral's name for it is "partial 18S ribosomal RNA". It matches the Rfam family "Eukaryotic small subunit ribosomal RNA", at positions 1470 to 1796 of the family's 1831-position model. The record is from RNAcentral.